Molecule: long non-coding RNA, 796 nt
Filed under: Mus spicilegus (steppe mouse)
Lineage: Eukaryota; Metazoa; Chordata; Mammalia; Rodentia; Muridae
Description: lncRNA (ENSMSIG00000028420.1)
Source: RNAcentral
CUGCCCUUUUACACAAACUCCAGAUGUCUGACUCCCUGAACCUGACCGUCCUAAUUAGCAGAGCCCUAAUCUUUCCUUGACCAUCUCCUGUUCAGAAGUAGAGAAGUUAUCCAUCAACAGUCCCUGCCUGGAAAGAGCUUGGCUUCUGCCCUCCACGUGGCAUGCGGAUUUCCUUUUAUCUAAGAGAAAACCUAGAGUCCACCAGGAAGGCUGAGUGCACACAGAGGCCGGACAGAUCAGCCAUCAUUACUCCCUCCCUGCCGCCUCCUGCCUGUCUUCUAUGCAUAGCUAGCUGUUUCCUAAGGAUCAGAAGAGGAGUUUCUCCCUUGUCUUUCUGGCACCAUCAUGGGUAUCACCGACCCAACUCUGGACAACAUAUGGAUGCAUGCUGCAUCCAUGAACUGUUCACAGGACUCUGGAAACCCCUUCUUUCAUUAAGCAAACAUCUUAAUAAAACGACCUGCCCUCUCCUGCUGUGCAUGUGCAUUGCACACACAGUGGUAAGGCUGAUUGUGCUUAUCCUGACAUGAAUGUCCACAGAGGACUCUGGGCACAACUCUACCACACUAGCAGCAGAUGUGAGUCACUGGAAUAAGUUCUUCAUCAGUAAAGGUGCUGAAAUGUGGAGUCCAAGAGAGCCCCGGCUCUGCACAGAGAAGACACCUGGGAGAUGCUAAUUGAAGACUGAAGAAAAAUGAGAGCAAUUCCAUGGUCUCUGAUCUAAAUUAUACAUUCACCCUCUCCUGGCUCUUUGAGACACAUAAUAGAUGAAUAAAAAGAGCAAAACUUUGGAGCA